Molecule: ribosomal RNA, 391 nt
Filed under: uncultured bacterium
Lineage: Bacteria
Description: bacterial SSU rRNA
Rfam family: Bacterial small subunit ribosomal RNA
Source: RNAcentral
GACGAACGCUGGCGGCGUGCUUAACACAUGCAAGUCGAGCGGUAAGGCCCUUUCGGGGGUACACGAGCGGCGAACGGGUGAGUAACACGUGGGUGACCUGCCCUCAGCUCUGGGAUAAGCCUGGGAAACCGGGUCUAAUACCGGAUAUGACUCCAUGACGCAUGUUGUGGGGUGGAAAGCCUUGUGCGGCUGAGGAUGGGCCCGCGGCCUAUCAGCUUGUUGGUGGGGUGAUGGCCUACCAAGGCGACGACGGGUAGCCGGCCUGAGAGGGCGACCGGCCACACUGGGGACUGAGACACGGCCCAGACUCCUACGGGAGGCAGCAGUGGGGAAUCUUGCGCAAUGGGCGAAAGCCUGACGCAGCGACGCCGCGUGAGGGAUGACGGCCUGG